GAAGUUUUCAGAGAUGAGAAUGUGCCUUCGGGAACCGUGAGACAGGUGCUGCAUGGCUGUCGUCAGCUCGUGUUGUGAAAUGUUGGGUUAAGUCCCGCAACGAGCGCAACCCUUAUCCUUUGUUGCCAGCGAUUAGGUCGGGAACUCAAAGGAGACUGCCAGUGAUAAACUGGAGGAAGGUGGGGAUGACGUCAAGUCAUCAUGGCCCUUACGACCAGGGCUACACACGUGCUACAAUGGCGCAUACAAAGAGAAGCGACCUCGCGAGAGCAAGCGGACCUCAUAAAGUGCGUCGUAGUCCGGAUUGGAGUCUGCAACUCGACUCCAUGAAGUCGGAAUCGCUAGUAAUCGUGGAUCAGAAUGCCACGGUGAAUACGUUCCCGGGCCUUGUACACACCGCCCGUCACACCAUGGGAGUGGGUUGCAAAAGAAGUAGGUAGCUUAACCUUCGGGAGGGCGCUCACCACUUUGUGAUUCAUGACUGGGGUGAAGUCGUAACAAGGUAACCGUAGGGGAACCUGCGGUUGGAUCACCUCCUUACCUGAAAGAA
RNAcentral lists this ribosomal RNA (550 nucleotides) under Salmonella enterica. RNAcentral describes it as "bacterial SSU rRNA". It matches the Rfam family "Bacterial small subunit ribosomal RNA", at positions 993 to 1533 of the family's 1533-position model. The record is from RNAcentral. Lineage: Bacteria; Pseudomonadati; Pseudomonadota; Gammaproteobacteria; Enterobacterales; Enterobacteriaceae.